RNAcentral lists this long non-coding RNA (675 nucleotides) under Trifolium pratense (red clover). RNAcentral describes it as "long non-coding RNA (TPRA_LNC007095)". The record is from RNAcentral. Lineage: Eukaryota; Viridiplantae; Streptophyta; Magnoliopsida; Fabales; Fabaceae.
GCAGAGGCCAUAGAGCAUCACCCAAACCUGCAUUUUCAUUGAGCCUGGCGCAGCAAGCAUCAAGCCUGGCUUGAUGUCCUGUAACAAUACCAAUUUUCUGUUUUCCUUGCACAAUUCAAAGGCAAUAACCAACAUGUCACUUACAUGCAUGAUAUCAACUUCUUUGUCUUUUUGCAUAUUCUAAAUAUUAAAGAAUAUAGUUAAAUAUAUGUUAUACCAAUGUGUAAAAAUUCUUGGCAAGAUAAAAUUUAUUUAAAUAUUUCUAAAACAUUCAAAAACAUCUCUUUAUCAAAAAUAUUAUAACAUCUUUACAAAUAUUGCACAAUAAUAUAUAACGCAUCAUUUCCAAUCAUUCAAUUCAAUACAUGUAAAAUAAACCUUGUUGAGCUUGUAAAAGUACACUUAAAAGUUUAAAUCCCACAAUUCUAGUAUUUUGGCAAAAACUCAAUCAUGAUGUUGCCUAUAGUAACCUCUCCUUUACCUACCUUAGGCACCAAGGUAACCACCAAAUCAUCAUCUACAUCAACUUCCAAAUUCUCUACCACUUUUGAUAUACCUACCUUAAAACUAGUGCUAGUUUUACCAUUAUGCCCAUGGUGCAAACUAACAAAACUUCCCACAAACUCUACUUGAUCAGGGUCACUCAAGUCAUCUUCAACAUCAUCAACAUGAANN